Non-coding RNA from Meleagris gallopavo (turkey), 295 nucleotides. The record is from RefSeq and is a predicted model, not a curated record. NCBI's taxonomy places the organism in Eukaryota, Metazoa, Chordata, Aves, Galliformes, Phasianidae.
CAGCUUUGCCGCGGCUCCCGGUACUAUGAGUCCACCACUCCGGGUGGGAGAGCGAGCAAAAGAUUUGAACCUGAUCAUGCACAAAUCAAGCUGCCAGUGAGUCAAAAAACACCGCAACUGGGAGAGAGCAAUGAAGACUAAGAGGCACGGAAGAGGGACUGUAUUUUCUGGGAAAUCCAAUGAUUGCUCUUUAACUGACUGCAAUUCUGCCUUUGCUUUUAAGUUGAUGUAUAAAGUACAGUGUGCAGCUCAUCCAGCAACAGAAUCUUUUUAACUUCUUUCUCUUAAAGUUUCA